Molecule: long non-coding RNA, 382 nt
Organism: Chiroxiphia lanceolata (lance-tailed manakin)
Lineage: Eukaryota; Metazoa; Chordata; Aves; Passeriformes; Pipridae
Exons: 3
Source: RefSeq, a predicted model, not a curated record
ACUGGGGCCGUGUCGAGUGGUGGCACUGCCAGCCCUGCAGUGGGAUGUAGCCUGGAAACUCCCCAGAUCUGAGCCAAGGGAUUUAAAGGGACCAAGCAAGGGAGGUGAAGAAACAAGGAAGAAGGGAGCUGAGGCAUCAGCCAAGUAGCACCAAGUUCCUGUGUAAGCAGGGAAUAACUCCUGUCAGCAGCAAGGGCCCGACUGAAGUGGCAGCUGCAGUUUUUCCUGUGGUGUGGGCCAGUGGAAUUGCAGGAGAGUGGAAGAGGGCAGAACCUGUAGGUAUUACCCCUAAUGUGGGAUCUCUCCUGGUAAGGCCAAGCCAGUAUCCUUUAAAAUCAGAAUGCCAGCUUGGAUUGGUUGCAGGAACAGCUAAAUUUGCUCC